Setaria italica (foxtail millet) is the source of this 3445-nucleotide long non-coding RNA. RefSeq lists it as uncharacterized. The transcript has 3 exons. The record is from RefSeq and is a predicted model, not a curated record. Lineage: Eukaryota; Viridiplantae; Streptophyta; Magnoliopsida; Poales; Poaceae.
CCCCGCCCCAGUGCCUCCUCCCAUUCCUCUCCUCGUCUUCUCUCGUCUCCUCCUCCUCCUCCUCCUCCUCCCUACCAUCAGCUUCCGGUGCCACGCCACGCGCUGCCGCUUCCCCCUCCUCCCUUCCUCUCUGUCCUCCUGCCCGGCGCUAGAUCCCCUCGUCGCAACCGCACCAGGGAGCGUCCCUCGCUACCAAUCCCGUACUACGAGCAGGCCUUGCACCCUAACCCUAGCCUUUGGGGGAAGGGAAGCAGGUAGACAGAGCGGAUGUGGAGGCGACGCGAGCCUUCAAUGGGGAGGAGUGCGACGGCAGGCAUGAGGGAUGAGCAUGAACGCGACGCACGGACCCUGGCAGGACCGUCGGGCGUGGGGCAGAGGCGCGACCGGACACGAGGCAUGGGAGAUGAAAUUGAGGGUUUCUUUUUUUUGCUGGUUAUUGUUUCCAGUUCUAUGGUGUUUUCCUUUCGUUGCACCCUGAUUGCUUGUUUUUUUUCUUAGGGUAUGAGCCCAGAUGUUGUGACAUACACUACACUUAUGAAAACAUUCAUGACAACAAAGAAAUUUGAAAAGCUGUGCCACUCUAUCUCUAUUUUUGUUAACUUAAAAAGGCCAUGUAUGGUAACCUGUGCACACAACCAUAAUUGUUAGUAACAAUUACGAAAUGUCUUCUUUUCAGCUCGAGUACAGCCUUCAAUUUUUCGUUUUUCAUGGUUAGGAUGUAGAGUAUAAACGGAUUAUCCGAUGCUAUUAAACUCGUGAAGCAUCACAGGAUUCUAUGUACUUGAUUAAUCUGAAAAGGUUGAAAUUAUUCUAAUCUUGGCUUGAAUAGGUAUCCGAAGUAUACAAGGAAAUGGAACGUGCUGGAUGCACUCCAGACAGAAAAGCCCGGGAAAUGUUACAUGAUACCUCUGUUACAUUGGAACAAAAAGGAUGUACCUAUUGAAAUUGGGACCUUGCUAUUUUAGAAUGGACUAGGCAUCAAUUUUUAUAAUGUCAUGGCACCAUCUCCCUUAUUGCUUACACAUGCAUGAUGGAGAAAUCAUUCGAAAUCAAACACAAGCUCACCUAUUCUGACAACACUAUAAGAUGGAUCAUCUCUUUGCAUUAAGCUGUUCCAAGUAGGUAUUUCAGUUGGUGGUAUCAGUUUUAUCUACUGCUCACAGUCCAACAAAAUUGUAAAUAUUGUUUCAAGUAACUGAUCCAUCAUGUAGUAUAUUAGUUAGUGCUAUCAGUUUCAUAUACUGCUGAUAAUCCAACAAAAUUGCAUAAACUAAUUUGUCUACUGGUGAAAUUGAUGAAAAAAUUGCUGGAAGCAACACUUUUGUUAGACUAUGGAAGUUUGGCCAUCAACUUCUAUGGUGUAACUAUGUAUAUGUAAGUGUUGCUUGGCCAUGUGUCCAUGUCCAUCAACAUCUGUGUUUCAACUUUGAACUUUGAAGGCGUACUUGGUUUACUUUCAACAUAUCCGUUGGAGAUGCAGAUUGAUUUUCCCCGUACCCCUGCCUUUCCCAAUUUUAAUUUAUUGGGGAGAAGCACUACAACAGAUCUUCCUCCUCCCGUCUCUUCUUUUUCUCUCGCACGCGGAUGGGGCCGGCGGCUGUCGGGGCAGGGCCGGCCGACCGGGGCAGGGUUGGCUGGUGUGGAGGCGGACUGGGCCGGCGGCGUUCGGGGCUGGCCGGCGCAGAGGCGGCCUGGGGCGGCGGUGCUGGGGGCUGGCCGGGCCGGCGCGCAGGGAAACGGCGCGCCUGGGGCAGCACGCAUCGGGGCGCAGGCAGACGGGGCUGGCGGCGGCCGGCCUGCUCGCCCGUGGGAGGAGCCACGGCGACGCGCUCGGGCGAGCGCCGUGCGUGGGAGCAGGGCGGCGCAUGAGGAGGGGGUGGAGGCAAAGGCCGGCGGCCGGAGGCUUGGAUGGCUGGCGUCGGAGCGCGGGGACUGGGAUGGCCGGCGCCGGCGCGGAGCACAGGGCGGCCGGUGUAGCAACUGGCGGCGGCAACUGAGGGGCAUGGGGCAGAUCGAGCUGUCAGAAAAUCAAGGAGGCAGCAGAUCGUGCGGUUGGAGAGAAAUAGAAGGAAAGGGAGAGGGAGGGGGAGAAAGAGGAUUGAGAAAAAAUAAAGGGGAAAUGGGAAUGGAAAGGGGAUCUGCUGGAGGAGGUUUUUCUCCCCUAAAUCUCCUUUAUAGCUGAAAAGAGGAAAGGGGAAAGGGAAUCUGCUGGAGAUGCUCUUAUGUUGAUCAUGCUGAUAAAAGUGCCAAUAAUCCGCUCACUGACAUUUUCUCCAUUCAGAGAAAUACUAUGCCUGCAAAGUUUGGGGCGAUCACAGUACAACCCUUUGUGUCCAAGACUCCUAAAUGAUCAUGUUGGGCAGAAAGGUGCAAACGGUAUGGGGUUUACUGAAGCCGGUUUGCGCUUAACCAUUUAAUCGGGCAUUACUUGCAUCCAGUUAUUGUCAACACACAAGGUGUUCUGGUAUGCUUUAUGUCUUUUAGUUUGAGUGUGCAGUCAGGAUUUAUGGUCUAAGUAGCGCUAUCAAGCAUAAAGAGAGGAGGAAUCAGAAAGUGAAAGAAUCAUUAACAUAUUCAAUCUGAUGAGUUUAAUAGACAAGUUGAUUGACAAGACUGAAAUCAGUUGCUAUUCUAUUUCAAUUGCUGGUAAAUGUGGAGGAAGAAAAUCUUCAGAGAUUGAUCCAUCUAACCGAGAUCACCAGGUGAAAUUUCAACCAUAAGUAAAUGUUUUGCGUACUCGCCCUUGUCAAUAUAACAAGUGGGAAGUACCAAACUACAUAGAACAAUUGCUCCCACAAGAAUUAUAUUAUUUUUAUUUACCUUUUCGUUAGCACUUAGAAUUUUAAUUAGGCAACGGGCAAUGAGUUCUCUACUUACCCAGGUAACUUAUAGUUUCUCUGUGCUCAUAUGAUGUUCUUUUCUAGACAACUGCUAGCUUCAGUACUUGAAAUCUCUAUGGAUCAAUUUUCAGUACUUCUAAGAACUGAGAUCAUUAGAUAGAAAUCGGCAUAUGUACUUGCUACCAUAAUUAUGUGGUCGUGAACCAUGCAGCCAUGCGUGUAUGGUGGUAAUUAGCAACUGCAAAGUAUUUGCAGAAUAUUUGAUGUUAACUGCUCAGUAUACCAUUAUGAUUAUGUCAUGCAAUUGUCCAAUGUCUCACUUGCAUUUUAGCAAAAUGUUUACCUCUGAGCUCACAAUUUAACAGUUGUUUCUGCAGCUAGGUAAUUAUGCUUCCCUUUAUUCCACCAUCUCAGUCUAUUGAAUCCUGAAGAGUAAACAUCUCAUCAAUAAAUAGUGUCAUUAGUUCUAUAAUUUAGCAUCGACACAUCUGUUUUAUCCUUUACAUAGUACGUCCAAUAUGUAAUAAUAUGUAAUUCCUUUCUGUGACGUAGAACACUUCGGUUUCAGUUUCUAUUUAAUAAAAAAUCGUUCCAUGGUUCCAUAA